Molecule: long non-coding RNA, 283 nt
Filed under: Olea europaea (common olive)
Lineage: Eukaryota; Viridiplantae; Streptophyta; Magnoliopsida; Lamiales; Oleaceae
Description: long non-coding RNA (OEUR_LNC005406)
Source: RNAcentral
ACGAAUAAAAAAUUUUAUGGGUCACAAAUUAUUCAUUGGUCACAGAAUCAAAAUUUUUAUUGGUCACAACUCAUUUAUUCAUUGCAAAUUAUUAAAUUAAUUAGUCACUAUUAGUUUUUCAGUCACAACUUAAUCAAUUGUAAGUCACAGUCACACAUUCAGUCACAUAUUAUUUACCGAUUAUGAAUUAACGAUUUGUUGAUCAAAUUGGUCACAAACACUCUCUUCAUCCACUGCAAUACAGCCGACCACCACUUCGCCAAAUCCACCACCUAAAUCCCCA